AUUGAACGCUGGCGGUAUGCUUAACACAUGCAAGUCGAACGGCAGCACAGUAUGUAGCAAUACAUAUGGGUGGCGAGUGGCGGACGGGUGAGUAACGCGUAGGAAUCUACCCUAAAGCGGGGGACAACCCGAGGAAACUCGGGCUAAUACCGCAUAAUCUCGAAAGAGUAAAGCUGGGGAAACCUGACACUUUAGGAGGAGCCUGCGUCGGAUUAGCUAGCUGGGGAGGUAAAGGCUCUACAAGGCGAUGAUCGGUAGCUGGCCUGAGAGGAUGAUCAGCCACACUGGGACUGAGACACGGCCCAGAAUCCUACGGGAGGCGGCAGUGGGGAAUAUUGGACAAUGGGGGCAACCCUGAUCCAGCAAUACCGCGUGUGUGAAGAAGGCCUUAGGGUUGUAAAGCACUUUAGUUGGGGAAGAAGGAUCGUUGUUUAAGAGAUGAUUAUUUUGACGGUACCCAAAGAAUAAGCACCGGCUAACUCUGUGCCAGCCGCCGCGGUAA
Molecule: ribosomal RNA, 502 nt
Filed under: uncultured bacterium
Lineage: Bacteria
Description: partial 16S ribosomal RNA
Rfam family: Bacterial small subunit ribosomal RNA
Source: RNAcentral